UGGAAAUGUGAUGUUUGUGGGAUCGAGAGCUUGCUGGGAGCGCGGGCGCAGGGAGCGGCGUGCGGCGUGCGGCAUGGCAUCAUACGCAAGGGGCGUGGCGGAGGCGUGUCAUAACAUAUCAGCGCUACUGUUUCAUGUGUCGAUCGAGCUCUGUUGAGAACUGCGCUCUCUCUGUGCUUCACCGGAGUAGACAUAAACAAGUGAUUAAAAGCUAAAGGUUUAGUUUUCUGCAGUAGCAUACGCGCUGUCAGGGCUACAUCGGCAGAUUUUUCUGUGGCUAACAGAGAGGAUAGAUCGCUCUUCUGGGAAGACGUCGAAAAGUAACUAAGCCUCACUCACUCGGCCACAGGUAGCUGUUUCGGCUCUGAAUAUCAAAGUACAGGUCAUGCGGGUGUCUUCGGACGGACAGAGAGCUGUGAUCCAGUGCUGCUGUUACUGCUAGUGACUCCGGUGGACUGAUCGCUUUUGCCGCAAGCUGAGCAGGAACGACGGAAUUAAGCAUGUCCCGAAGAAAGCAGAGCAAACCCCGGCAAAUCAAACUAGCCCUUAACAUCCAGAGGAAACGCUGUGUACGUCGAGCUCGCAGCAUUCUUAAGGACUCCUCUCACCCUGACCAUGGACUGUUUAACCUCCUGCCCUCCGGGAGGCGCUUCAGGAGCCUCCGGACAAGGACCAGCAGAUCCAGGAACAGCUUUUUCCCUACAGCUGUCUCCUUGCUGAACUCUGCCCUCUGACACCCCCCACACCAUACACACAGACUCCUCCCCCACUUCAUCACUACAUCUGACUGAUUUAUUUAUUUAUUUAUUUACAACAAGCAAAAACAGCAAACCUGCUAUUACUUGCACUACUGUCUGUUCAUCCAGGAACACUGAAUAACCCAUUUGCACACUGAAAUAUUUUCUAUGCACUUUACUUUCCAUUGCAAUAGUGUAAAUUGUUCAUAUGUUCAUAGUUCUGCCUAUAGUGUACAUACACUUCACAUAUUUCAUCUGUAUAAUAUGUUCAUAGUACACCUAUCUGUAUAUCAUGCUGAUAGUAUUUAAAAUCUGUAAAUUUUGUCCAUAAUACUUAUCUGUAUAGUUAUUGUACAUAUUGUAGACCUUGUAUAUUCUGUACUUACUGCUUAUUGCACUUCUGGUUAGAUGCUAACUGCAUUUCGUUGCCUUGUACCUUACAUGUGCAGUGACAAUAAAGUUGAAUCUAAUCUAAUCUAAUCUAAAACAU
Cyprinus carpio carpio is the source of this 1227-nucleotide long non-coding RNA. The record is from Ensembl. Lineage: Eukaryota; Metazoa; Chordata; Actinopteri; Cypriniformes; Cyprinidae.